GAUGAACGCUAGCGGCAGGCCUAACACAUGCAAGUCGAGGGAGGAGCUUUCGGGCUUCGACCGGCGUACGGGUGCGUAACGCGUAUACAAUCUGCCUUUCACAUAGGGAUAGCCCGAAGAAAUUUGGAUUAAUACCUAAUGGUAUAUAGGAGUGGCAUCACAUUUAUAUUAAAGCUGAGGCGGUGAAAGAUGAGUAUGCGUUCUAUUAGCUAGUUGGAGAGGUAACGGCUCCCCAAGGCGACGAUAGAUAGGGGUUCUGGGAGGGAUAUCCCCCACACUGGUACUGAGAUACGGACCAGACUCCUACGGGAGGCAGCAGUGAGGAAUAUUGGACAAUGGUCGGAAGACUGAUCCAGCCAUGCCGCGUGCAGGAAGACGGCCUUAUGGGUUGUAAACUGCUUUUGCAGGGGAAGAAUAAGGACUACGAGUAGUUUGAUGACGGUACUCUGCGAAUAAGCAUCGGCUAACUCCGUG
Molecule: ribosomal RNA, 474 nt
Filed under: uncultured bacterium
Lineage: Bacteria
Description: partial 16S ribosomal RNA
Rfam family: Bacterial small subunit ribosomal RNA
Source: RNAcentral